Molecule: small nucleolar RNA, 211 nt
Organism: Zingiber officinale
Lineage: Eukaryota; Viridiplantae; Streptophyta; Magnoliopsida; Zingiberales; Zingiberaceae
Product: small nucleolar RNA U3
Exons: 1
Source: RefSeq, a predicted model, not a curated record
ACGACCUUACUUGAACAGGAUAUAUUCUAUAGGCUCAUACAACUGUAUCCUUGAGUUUAAAGAAGACAGACAACUACUCUGGUUGAUGACGUAAGAUAUCGAGAUCAGAGCAUGAUUAACGGUUCUGGUCCCUUGGGAGUCCAAGUUGUAGAGGACUGUUCCUAACAGAUCAACGCUCUACUGGGGUGGUCUCGAGAUUGUCUGACAGACA